UUAGGGAAUCAAUUGAAUGUAUUACACCGAAGCGCGGGGAUGAUCCGAUUAUUACGUAAACGUCGUUCUCCAGUCAGUUAAUGUGAUUGCAUUGAUGCAACAAUGUAAAAGACCUAUAAAUGAAAGUGCUUUCAGCAGAGCGGUUCAUAACCAAACUGAACAUUUGUCUGCUGCACCACCGACUUUAAGAUUGGGCCUGGUCUGGAAGGUGAACUGACAUACGAGUUUACCUUCCAGACCCUGGUAAGUAGAAGACCACCCUGAUUCUGUUUUUUUCAGCACAUAAUCUUAAAAAAAAUUGUCUGACAACCCAGUUUGCCUCCCUCAGGGCCAUCCAGCACUGGCUGGUAAAUGGACGUAUCAUCAGGGCCCCAAGAGUGCGUUGCUUCUGACCCCUGAAAUCUACAAUGCAACAUUUUACACUACCGACUUUAAGACUGGGUCUGGUCUGGAAGGUCAACUUGCGUACAAGUUGACCUUCCAGACCCUGGUAAGUAGAAUACCACCCUGAUCCUGGGUUUUCUUCAGCACACACUCUUAUAGCUAAAUUAGUUUUUUUCAGUUAAUUAAUGGGAAGGGAAAAUGUAUAACAUUCGCUGCAAAGACCCAAUUUUGUUCUCUGAGUAAUUUGGACCCAAACUAAAAUCGGUUUAGCUUCAGCAUAACAUUUGAAGUCCAUCCACCUCUAUAUCUCUUUCAGUAAUGUCUAAAAGUAAAAGGCUUCUUGCUGUUGGGUAUUAUACCAAAUCUUCAGAUGAAGAGUCCUGCUCAAGUGUCAUCCGUUCUGCUAACUCCUGCUAAUGUAUGUGUUCUCUGAGUGUUGUGUAGCUGCAGCAACAGGUGACCACCAUCCGUAACCAGCUUCAUCCUGCUCCCAGAGUAGUGAUACCCACACCUGAUACACAAAUACCAAUAAGCCAUGGAAAAACCAACAAAGGGCGUGCCUAAUGUCAGAGAUGAACGCUGCUCGGAACACUAAAUCAAAUGCUGACAACCUAGAGGACACACUGGAGACGUGCAUGUGAAAGCUGCCAGAUAGUGAAUCCCACUGCAGUGUAUUCCUAUGCUGAUCUCGGUGUCCUCGGCAAAAGGGGUCAUCUGUAUUACACCUGUGGAUGACACUUCCGGGUUCAUGGCAAGACUGCUUCCAAUGGGGUGUAUCAGCUAUCUGCCUCAAGUUGUGUGUGUGCGUGUCUGUGUGUGUGUAUAUGUAUACUUGUGAGCACCAUGACCAAUCAGCAAAAAUCAAGAAACUGGGACAUUUUGGUGGUCCUAUUCUGCAAUUUGGAAACAUCAAUGAUAAUGUGUGUUGACCAAAAUAUUGAACUUUUUUUUUAUGUAUUGUAGAUAUACACUCACCUAAAGGAUUAUUAGGAACACCAUACUAAUACUGUGUUUGACCCCCUUUCACCUUCAGAACUGCCUUAAUUAUACGUGGCAUUGAUUCAACAAGGUGCUGAAAGCAUUCUUUAGAAAUGUUGGCCCAUAUUGAUAGGAUAACAUCUUGCAGUUGAUGGAGAUUUGUGGGAUGCACAUCCAGCGCACGAAGCUCCCGUUCCACCACAUCCCAAAGAUGCUCUAUUGGGUUGAGAUCUGGUGACUGUGUUGGCCAUUUCAGUACAGUGAACUCAUUGUCAUGUUCAAGAAACCAAUUUGAAAUGAUUCAAGCUUUGUGACGUGCAUUAUCCUGCCGGAAGUAGCCAUCAGAAGAUGAGUACAUGGUGUUCAUAAAGGGAUGGACAUGGUCAGAAACAAUGCUCAGGUAGGCCGUGGCAUUUAAACGAUGUCCAAUUGGCAGUAAGGGGCCUAAAGUCUGCCAAGAAAAGCCCCACACCAUUACACCACCACCAGCACAGUGGUAACAAGGCAUGAUGGAUCCAUGUUCUCAUUCUGUUUACGCCAAAUUCUGACUCUACCAUCUGAAUGUCUCAACAGAAAUCGAGACUCAUCAGACCAGGCAACAUUCUUACAGUCUUCAACUGUCCAAUUUUGGUGAGCUUGUGCAAACUGUAGCCUCUUUUUCCUAUUUGUAGUGGAGAUGGUACCCGGUAGGGUCUUCUGCUGUUGUAGCCCAUCCGCCUCAAGGUUGUGCGUGUUGUGGCUUCACAAAUGCUUUGCUGCAUACCUCGGUUGUAACGAGUGGUUAUUUCAGUCAAAGUUGCUCUUCUAUCAGCUUGAAUCAGUCGGCCCAUUCUCCUCUGACUUCUAGCAUCAACAAGGCAUUUUCGCCCACAGGACUGCCGCAUACUGGAUGUUUUUCCCUUUUCACACCAUUCUUUGUAAACCCUAGAAAUGGUUGUGCGUGAAAAUCCCAGUAACUGAGCAGAUUGUGAAAUACUCAGACCAGCCCGUCUGGCACCAACAACCAUGCCACGCUCAAAACUGCUUAAAUCACCUUCCUUUCCCAUUCUGACAUUCAGUUUGGAGUUCAGGAGAUUGUCUUGACCAGGACCACACCCCUAAAUGCAUUGAAGCAACUGCCAUGUGAUUAGUUGAUUAGAUAAUUGCAUUAAUGAGAAAUUGAACAGGUGUUCCUAAUAAUCCUUUAGGUGAGUCUAUUUAUAUAUCUAAUGGCUUAAGAUUAUUCUUAAACUUUCUUAUCCGGUGCAGCCAGAAGAGGACUGGCCCCUCAGAGUCUGGUUCCUCUCUAGGUUUCUUCCAAGGUUUUUGACCCUACUUGGGAGUUUUUCCUAGCCACUGAGCACAAUGUAUUGUUAUUGCUUGCUCUUUGGGGUUUCUAUGCUGGGUAUCUGUGCAUUUUGUGAUAACAGACAAUAUAAAAAUGGCUUUAUAAAAUAAAGUUUGUUGCUUGUUUGCAUGCAAAGUUGUUUUUCCUUCAUUCAAAAU
This is a long non-coding RNA of Esox lucius (northern pike), 2847 nucleotides long. The record is from Ensembl. NCBI's taxonomy places the organism in Eukaryota, Metazoa, Chordata, Actinopteri, Esociformes, Esocidae.